RNAcentral lists this ribosomal RNA (976 nucleotides) under uncultured organism. RNAcentral describes it as "bacterial SSU rRNA". It matches the Rfam family "Bacterial small subunit ribosomal RNA", at positions 239 to 1242 of the family's 1533-position model. The record is from RNAcentral.
CAUCAGCUAGUUGGUGAGGUAACGGCUCACCAAGGCGAAGACGGGUAGGGGGUGUGAGAGCAUGUGCCCCCAUAAUGGGACUGAGACACGGUCCAUACUCCUACGGGAGGCAGCAGCGGGGAAUAUUGCGCAAUGUACGGAAGUCAGACGCAGCGACGCCGCGUGGGUGAGGAAGGCCUUCGGGUUGUAAAGCCCUUUUCAGGGGAGCGAGAAAGGACGGUACCCUUGGAAUAAGCGUCGGCUAACUACGUGCCAGCAGCCGCGGUAAGACGUAGGACGCAAGCGUUAUCCGGAUUUACUGGGCGUUAAGCGCCUGUAGGCGGUCAAGUAAGUCGGAUGUGAAAGCCCCGUGCUCAACGCGGGGAAGCCAUUCGAUACUGCGUGACUAGAGAACGGCAGAGGGAAACGGAAUUUCUUGGUGUAGCGGUAAAAUGCGCAGAGAAUCAGAAAGAACACCGAUGACGAAAGCUAGUUUCCUAAGGCCGCAUCUGACGCUGAGAGACGAAAGCUAGGGGAACAAACAGGAUUAGAGACCCUGGUAGUCCUAGCUGUAAACGAUGCGAUGCCUAGGUGUGGACCGGAAAGGUCCGUGCCGUAGUUAACGCGAUAAGCAUCCCGCCUGGGGAGUACGACCGCAAGGCUCAAACUCAAACGAAGUGACGGGGACCCGCACAAGCAGCGGAGCGUAUGGUUUAAUUCGAUGCUACACGCAGAACCUUACCUGGGCUUGACAUGUAGGUGGUAGUGAAGUGAAAGGCGGAGCGACCCUUCGGGGAGCCUACACAGGUGCUGCAUGCCCGUCGUCAGCUCGUGCCGUGAGGUGUCGGGUUAAGUCCCGUAACGAGCGCAACCCUUGUCCUAAGUUACAAGUGUCUAAGGAGACUGCCGGUGACAAACCGGAGGAAGGUGGGGAUGACGUCAAGUCAGCAUGGCCCUUAUGUCCAGGGCGACACACACGCUACAAUGGUCGGUACAA